AGGAGCGCGCUGCCCCAGCAGACUUCCUCCGGCCGCCAUGGGGUGGCAGCAGCAGCCAGGCUAAGGGCAGCCUCCAGCCGGCGACUUGUUUUUCAGCUCUUAGGUGGUUAAAGAUUCUAUGGAAGGAGAAAAAUCAAUUACAGGGGAAGAGUGGAGGUUGCGCAAGCUGCUCCCAGGCACUGCGGUAGAACUGGAGAGGAGGCGAGACGAGGCGAGGCGAAAUGACCGAGCCGGAGAGUGGCGCAGGAGGAGAACCGGACAGCGAGCUGUCCGCCCGCCCCGAGCCCCAAGCGAGCUGGCUUCUGCCCACAUCUGGAUGGACCCCAGCCCAAGGCACACGCACGCAGGCUCUUCGGCUGAAUUCCUUCUGCCCCACUGAUUAGAGGUCACCCAGGAAGGAGAUGUAGAAAAAGUGCAUCAUCCUGGCUGACUUCUGCUCAGCGGGGGGCAGCAUGACACCGGGGCAAGAGAGCUGGAGCUGGGGUCAGAAGAGCUGGA
Molecule: non-coding RNA, 498 nt
Organism: Monodelphis domestica (gray short-tailed opossum)
Lineage: Eukaryota; Metazoa; Chordata; Mammalia; Didelphimorphia; Didelphidae
Source: RefSeq, a predicted model, not a curated record